Molecule: long non-coding RNA, 535 nt
Filed under: Linum usitatissimum (flax)
Lineage: Eukaryota; Viridiplantae; Streptophyta; Magnoliopsida; Malpighiales; Linaceae
Description: long non-coding RNA (LUSI_LNC006534)
Source: RNAcentral
CUUGGGAUGAAGUCCAUGAUGAAGCAAUGCAAUGUUUCAUCAUGCUAGACCUGGCCAAGAACUGGAGGGAGUAUCGAAUUGGGUUUUGGAAGAAGCAGAAAUAUAAUAUCUAUGAUGAUUUGAAGAUCAACAAGUCCAAGAUACCCAAAAGGGUCAACAAACGAGACUGAGAUGCCUUAGUUCUACAAAUACUAGUGUGGCAAAAAUUCAAUUGUAAGUGAUCUUAUUGGAUUUGCUAAGUAUUGAACUUGUUUCCCGUACCUAGUUUUGACUUGGUAAUUGAACUGUGUCCAGAAAUGUUCAACCACUAACAAAGAGAACAGAGUUGCUCAGUAUGUGCACCAUACUUCGGUAAUAACGUUAUACUCUUAAUUCGAAAUAGUGUAUGGUUAUGGAUACGUUUAUUAAACUAACUACUAGUAUUAUUUGUAAAGCUGAGGGCACAAAGUGGUCCAGUAGGCAGGGGAGAUCUAUUUCGCUCUACUCACAUGAAGGCUGAUGGGAAGUCCUAUCCCAUGACUACAACAAAAAAAAU